AGUGGGGGAUGGAGCUGGUUCCUCUGGUACGUCGACAGUCUACUUGCGAGGUCCUGCCAGGAUCCCUGACGCUCCGGCACGGGAGCAACGCCCAGUGAUUCGCCCCGUUGGGCUAGCGUAAGUAACUUGAGAUGUUUUUACUACUACUUCAGUUCAAAUGUGGAGGGAAACUAAAUUUUUUACUUAAUUGUGCAGGAACUGGGAGGUUGUGUCUGGUGUUGCUGGCGUACGAAGCGUCAACGGCAUCCUUGGCUUGCUGUGCAAAAAGCACUACCCUGGCCUUGUCUUGUACAGGGAUUCGCGUGAGCCUGCCUUCACGUUUG
RNAcentral lists this long non-coding RNA (323 nucleotides) under Sorghum bicolor (sorghum). Its description in RNAcentral is "long non-coding RNA (SBIC_LNC005377)". The record is from RNAcentral. Lineage: Eukaryota; Viridiplantae; Streptophyta; Magnoliopsida; Poales; Poaceae.